RNAcentral lists this ribosomal RNA (403 nucleotides) under uncultured bacterium. Its description in RNAcentral is "bacterial SSU rRNA". It matches the Rfam family "Bacterial small subunit ribosomal RNA", at positions 355 to 776 of the family's 1533-position model. The record is from RNAcentral.
UGGGGAAUAUUGCACAAUGGGCGCAACCCUGACGCAGCAACGCCGCGUGCGGGACGAAGGCCCUCGGGUCGUAAACCGCUUUCAGCAGGGAAGACCACGACGGUACCUGCAGAAGAAGCUCCGGCUAACUACGUGCCAGCAGCCGCGGUAAUACGUAGGGGGCGAGCGUUAUCCGGAUUCAUUGGGCGUAAAGCGCGCGUAGGCGGCCGCCUAAGCGGAACCUCUAACCCCGGGGCUCAACCUCGGGCCGGGUUCCGGACUGGGCGGCUCGAGUGCGGUAGAGGAUAGCGGAAUUCCCGGUGUAGCGGUGGAAUGCGCAGAUAUCGGGAAGAACACCGAUGGCGAAGGCAGCUCUCUGGGCCGUCACUGACGCUGAGGCGCGAAAGCUGGGGGAGCGAACAGG